UAGGGAAUCUUCGGCAAUGGACGAAAGUCUGACCGAGCAACGCCGCGUGAGUGAAGAAGGUUUUCGGAUCGUAAAACUCUGUUGUUAGAGAAGAACAAGGACGUUAGUAACUGAACGUCCCCUGACGGUAUCUAACCAGAAAGCCACGGCUAACUACGUGCCAGCAGCCGCGGUAAUACGUAGGUGGCAAGCGCUGUCCGGAUUUAUUGGGCGUAAAGCGAGCGCAGGCGGUUUCUUAAGUUGGAUGUGAAAGCCCCCGGCUCAACCGGGGAGGGUCAUUGGGAACUGGGAGACUUGAGUGCAGAAGAGGGGAGUGGAAUUCCAUGUGUAGCGGUGAAAUGCGUAGAUAUAUGGAGGAACACCAGUGGCGAAGGCGGCUCUCUGGUCUGUAACUGACGCUGAGGCUCGAAAGCGUGGGGAGCAAACAGG
Molecule: ribosomal RNA, 429 nt
Filed under: Gemmatimonadota bacterium
Lineage: Bacteria; Pseudomonadati; Gemmatimonadota
Description: Gemmatimonadetes bacterium partial 16S ribosomal RNA
Rfam family: Bacterial small subunit ribosomal RNA
Source: RNAcentral